ACUCAAAUGAAUAGACGGGGGGCCGCACAAGCGGUGGAGCGUGUGGUUUAAUUCGACGCUAAGCGAAGAACCUUACCAGGGCUUGACAUCCCGGUCGUAUCUCGUGGAAACACGAGAGUCAGUUCGGCUGGAUCGGUGACAGGUGCUGCAUGGUCGUCGUCAGCUCGUGUCGUGAGAUGUUGGGUUAAGUCCCGCAACGAGCGCAACCCUCGUCGUGUGUUGUAUUUUUCACACGAGACUGCCUCGGUUAACGAGGAGGAAGGCGAGGAUGAUGUCAGAUCAGCAUGGCCCUUAUGCCCUGGGCGACACACGCGCUACAAUGGCCGGCGCAAUGGGACGCGAAGCCGCAAGGUGGAGCAAAUCCCGCAAUGCCGGUCUCAGUUCGGAUUGGAGGCUGCAACUCGCCUCCAUGAAGUCGGAAUCGCUAGUAAUCGCAGGUCAGCCAUACUGCGGUGAAUACGUUCUCGGCCCUUGUACACACCGCCCGU
Molecule: ribosomal RNA, 488 nt
Filed under: uncultured bacterium
Lineage: Bacteria
Description: partial 16S ribosomal RNA
Rfam family: Bacterial small subunit ribosomal RNA
Source: RNAcentral